This 517-nucleotide long non-coding RNA is filed under the name Scophthalmus maximus (turbot). RNAcentral's name for it is "lncRNA (ENSSMAG00000029996.1)". Lineage: Eukaryota; Metazoa; Chordata; Actinopteri; Pleuronectiformes; Scophthalmidae. The record is from RNAcentral.
AUCCGUGGUGAUUAAAAAGUGUAAAAUCUAUAAAUGACCUGAUGAGAAGGGGAAGGUUUUUUUCAGUGUGAUGCGUUGAUCAUUUUUAAUACUGAUUAUUAUCUCUCAGGGAAUUCCUGGACGUGAAGGACCAAUCGGCCAACCAGGUUUCCCAGGAUGCAAUGGGACAAAGGGCGAUGUUGGGUACCAAGGACUCCCUGGAGUUCCAGGACCUGUUGGCUUUCGAGGUCGUCCCGGAAUGCGAGGCACAAAGGGCAACUCGUUCGUCUUCCCCGUCCCUCCGGACAUUAAAGGACUGACAGGUCAACAGGGACUAGAAGGACAGAAGGUCAGUGUCACGGUCCAGGCAAGACAACAUGUCCUCCUCACGCUACCAGCGGAGAUGUGGACGGCGUCUGUCUUCACAGGCCGAUGGACCUCGUGGUCAAUUGAUCAUCACAUAUAUGAAAUUAAAAAUAUGGAGAACAAUGUUGUUGGAUUUCAAGGCUGCUGUGGUACCAAGAAGAGUUGUAGUUAA